This 253-nucleotide ribosomal RNA is filed under the name uncultured bacterium. RNAcentral's name for it is "partial 16S ribosomal RNA". It matches the Rfam family "Bacterial small subunit ribosomal RNA", at positions 524 to 776 of the family's 1533-position model. The record is from RNAcentral.
UACGUAGGGGGCUAGCGUUGUCCGGAAUCAUUGGGCGUAAAGCGCGUGUAGGCGGUCCGGUAAGUCCGCUGUGAAAGUCGGGGGCUCAACCCUCGGAUGCCGGUGGAUACUGUCGGGCUUGAGUACGGAAGAGGCGAGUGGAAUUCCCGGUGUAGCGGUGAAAUGCGCAGAUAUCGGGAGGAACACCAAUGGCGAAGGCAGCUCGCUGGGACGGUACUGACGCUGAGGCGCGAAAGCAUGGGGAGCGAACAGG